RNAcentral lists this transfer RNA (72 nucleotides) under Pangasianodon hypophthalmus (striped catfish). RNAcentral's name for it is "tRNA-Glu". The record is from RNAcentral. Lineage: Eukaryota; Metazoa; Chordata; Actinopteri; Siluriformes; Pangasiidae.
UCCCUGGAGGACUAGUGGUUAGGCUUCGGUACUCUCACCACCACGGCCCGGGUUCGGUUCCUGGCCAGGGAA